GUGACUCGGCAACCAAGAGCACUUCUGUGUUCUCCAAGAGGAUCUGAGUUCUGUUCCCAGCACUCACUCACAUGGUGCCUAACAACGGCCCAAAUCCAGUUCCGGGGCAUCUGACACUCUGGAGACACCUGCAUACACAAGCGGCCAUCAACUGCCUCACUCUCAAGAGAUCUGGCCUAUUUACAGUCCUUGUGGAGGAAGAAAGAACCUCACAAGAUCCUCAUGUGGUCCAGCAACUCCCAAGGUUAUAGAAGCAGAAAACAAUUGCUUGGGAAAGCUGCCGCGAGUCUAUCUGGUGAGAACCGUUCGUACCCUGCUCUCAGGGCCAGAAGCAAGGCUGUUGGAAGUCGGAGAAUACUUGCUGUUGCUUUCCAAGACUGGCGGUGGAGGGGAGCUGACUGGCGGUGAAGGGGCCACACACUAAGGGCCUUGUCAACCUCUCAGUGAAUUAUGGGCUGCUCUUGAUUAGCCAAAGCAAUGUUUCUGGGUUGCCAAAACAGAAUUUGCUGACCCAGGUUAUUAAAAUGCAAAUGUCCGACAAAGUGCCUGGAGGCAGGAACGCACACACACAGAGUAUCUACAUUGUGUACAUGUGGGCUGUGGAAGGCUGCAGAAGCCUCAACAGUGAAGACCACCUACCUGGUGACCAGGAGACCCGAGGUUGGGAACACUGUGGCACAGGUCGGGGAGGCAUGGAGACAACUGCCACAAUCCGGAAAGACCUGGGCCACUGUUCUCAGGAAUGCCUCCAGACUCACCUGCCUCACUCUCCUCAUCUGUUCAUUUGCUUGUUGGUUUUGAGACAGGGCUUCACUAGGUAGUCCCGGCUGUUCUGGAACUCAUUCUGUAGACCAGGUUGGCCUCUGUAGAAACAGAGAUCUGCCUGCCUCUGCCUCCUGAGUUCUGGGAUUAAAGGCGAGCGCCGCCGCCGCCACCACCACCACCACCAGCUCACAGCCAAAUCUUAAAAGAUUUGUCCAAACGACCUUUUCAUAAGGGCCAUUUGGGGCAAGGUACCGUUGGGUGUUUAAGAGGGGCAGUUUGCAGAAUGAACACGUGCACCCCGCUAUGGUGACAUACAGGAAAGAAAGUCCAUCCAGGAUAUCCACUCCCCAAGCUAUGCACCCAGAAACUGUGUCCAUCCAAAGGGGCAUAUUCCCCCUGAUCCGCACAAGGCUCCCUCUAGCCCAGAGGAAGUACUGUUUGCACAGUGCUCCUGACUCUCCAUUUGAAACAAGCCAGGCAAUCAUCCAAUUACUUACAUGCUUCUUAUUGCCAAACCCCGCAGAAAUGACUCAAUUCUCACUGCUCCUCAGAAUCUGACACUAGCUACUCCUCCCUCUUGAAAAUGCACCCACUAAGCUUGCUCUGCCCUCCUGGCCAUCAGCUGCUGCCU
Molecule: non-coding RNA, 1396 nt
Organism: Peromyscus maniculatus bairdii (prairie deer mouse)
Lineage: Eukaryota; Metazoa; Chordata; Mammalia; Rodentia; Cricetidae
Source: RefSeq, a predicted model, not a curated record